Molecule: long non-coding RNA, 8619 nt
Organism: Quercus robur (English oak)
Lineage: Eukaryota; Viridiplantae; Streptophyta; Magnoliopsida; Fagales; Fagaceae
Exons: 5
Source: RefSeq, a predicted model, not a curated record
AUUGCAUUGGGAGCCCUCUCGAUAGAAAAGGUAACUAACCGCUUAAGAAAAAAAAAAAAAAAAAAACAAAAAGGAAAGAUUGCUACACGGAGAAAGGAGAGAGAGAUCGAGAGAAAAGAGAGACAGAGAAAUAGAGAGGCAGAGAUGUAGACGAGGGCGCCACCCAAAUCUUCUGCCAUCACCGAAAGCCUCCACUCACUACCCGACUAUCGGAAUCACUACUGAAAUAGGGAGAGGCGAUGAAACAGAGAGAGGCCGAGAAAGAUAGAGGCGAUGAAAUAGAGAGAGGAUGAGGCCUGACACACGGACAAAGAAACAGAGAAAGAGGCAGAACGCACCACCUAUCUCCGGCUCCAUUCAACCGCAACCUCAACGUACGCGCAACAAUUUGCCUCUCCCUCUUUUCUUUUCUUUCACAAAACCUAAACCCAAUGCAUCAAACUUCUAAUCCACUUCUUCCUCCAGCAACGUCUCCAUCUGCUCCUCCUCCUCCUUACCUCUCCGGACGGUGUCCACUCACCAAGUUGAGUUUUUCAUUAGUUUUGAGUGAACUUCUGGCUUUAUGGGUUUAGUAUUUAAUUAGGUUUUAUGAGUUUUGUGUGUUUGUAGUGGAAAUUUGAGGUUUUUAAUUCAUAGAUUUACUGAGAUUUAUAGUGAAUUAUUUAAUAGUUUGAUUAGCUUAAUUUUUACUUUAAAUAACUGAAAAAUUAUGCUUAUCACCUUAAAUAACCCCUAAAUCCUAGAUCUCUACGGAUGGAGAAAGAAGGUUCAGUGAGGACUUGGGGAUUUUUAGUUUACAUACUAAUAUUGCCAAUGACCUAAUUUUCUCGAAUUUGUCCUUCAAAUAUUGCUCUAAUGCAUGCCUUACAAGGUUCUCAUAGCAUAAAUGUAUUUAGUAUAUAUUCUAUCUCUGUACAUUGAUCUGUUCGUAUGGUUGUCACUCAUGCACAACCCAUGGUUGAAGUUAGAUGCAUGGAGAAUGGUGUUGUGUGCUAUAGUGUUGAGUUUUAUUGUGAUGAUGAUGUGAAAUAUUGAUCUCCAAUCUCACCCGUUAUAGUCUUAAAGUCCUCUGUUUUAUUUUUCCCCACUUUACAGUGGACCUUUGAGGGCUUACGUUGAAGGUUUGUGUUUAUUUUCAUCUUUUCUCAUCAGGUCCUUUUCUGUUUUUGUGUGUGUGUGUGGGCUGUGCUUGCGUGCAAAUUUGAGUAAUAAAAUUGCUCAACAUAAUUGCAUGGUGUGGUUAUCUUAGUUUUAAAAUAUAGUCAACAAGUUGCAAGUUACAGGAAAUUAGAAAUAUUUCUAAUUGCUCCAGUAUUUGUACAAAGUGAAAAUUCGUGUCUUAUUCUAAGUUGCAUGUUUAAGAGUGAUUUGGGAGGGCAAAGAGUAUUUGAUCUCAAUCAGUUCUGAUUGUGUUUGUUUUGUUUGUGAUGUUAAUCUAGGUAUAUUAGAUUGUGCUCCACUUAUUUAUUUGGGUGAGUUGAAGCAUCCUUUCCAAGUUUGACUAAAUGGUUGGUUGUCUCUGCAGAAGGUGGGUUGAUUCCAUUGAGUGCUUUUAUUUUUCAAUUGCAUUUCAGUGACAUUCAAUUACAAACUUUUAAAUUGAUUUGCACUUACAGUUGAUUUGCAUUUGACUUUUUAAAUUGAUUUGCAUUGCAUUUAGGUGGUUUGAAUUAGAAUUCAACUAACAUUUUACAUAUAAAGCUGUAUUUAUAUGAAAAUCAUUUUACUAAAUGUAGGUUGUAUUCUAAUUUAGAAUUCAGAUAGUUUAAAUGUACAUUUAAAAAAAAAAAAAUUGUUUUCUUAAAUGUUGCUAUAUAUUAUAUUUAUAUAUUGGUUGCUGCAUCAUUAUGUCAUAGAAGUCUUUCCAAUUGAAUUUUUGGCAGCCACAUCUAUUUCCCUAAUUUUGAAUAUCACAUGAUAGCAUGUAUAAGCUACAAUAUCUAUAAUCUGUGAUUGGUGAUUGAAGUCUGCUAGGUUUUUUAUAGUUAUUACAAAGUUAACAAAAAAACUUAGAAAAAUUGUUGAGAUUUGCUUAGAAGUUGUGCAAACUUGAUUUUUAUGCAAAACUAUAAUAUGGAAAAUGUUUCAAUUUGGAUUCUAUUUGUUCAUGCUGUUUUUUUGUGUUUUAUUAAUAUUGAAAUGGUUUAAAACCAAACGGUAGACCCUUUUGUUAAAACAGUAUUUUAACCAUGUGUUUUAAUUGUUUUAUGGGUAUUUUUGUUGGAUUUUUUUAUAAGAUAUUUUGGUUGGAUUGUUUUAAAGGUUUGGCGGUUAGAAUUUGGUUUGCAUUUGGGUUAGACUGUAUUGACGGAAAAAAAAAAAUUCGAUUUUUUUUUUUUGUUGAUGAAUGGCUUUGUUAUCUGUUAAAGCAUAGUGGGUCACCACACGUUCAAUUCCGUUGCGAGGGACAGCUUAGUUGUUCAACAGUCCUUGGUGGUUAGUCGGCUAUUUUUUUUUUGAACUGUCUAUAUUUGAUAGAUGAUGGUAACCUGGCAAAGAAGUGGUCUACUAAAGAACAUCUCUACCCAAUCCGCAAGCUUGAUCAGUCUAAACUGACGUUAAAAGAAAAGAACUAUGACAAGGUUUUAGUGGUUAUAAGUAAUAAAGAUUCAAGUAAUUGGAUGAACUGUUCUAAAAAGUGAUUUGGGUUUUGAAAGAUUGGAUCUUGAGGGCAAAGAGUAGCUGGAAUCAAAUCUCUAAGUUGCAGGCCUAAAUCAAAUGGUUGGUGUUUGAUGGUUAUUUGGAGUGCAGUUUAAUUAUAUUUGGGAGGGUUUAAUUUGAGAGAUUAUAUAAGUUUACCACAAUAUUUAUGUUUAUUGUGCGUGAGUUCAUAUUAGUACGUUUCUAAAAUUUUGCUCUAGUUUUAUUGACAAAAAACAGUUCUGAAUUCAAAGUUAUUGUUAUGAUCUAUGUGAAGUAUUAAAACUAUUGAUUUUCAUAUACAUAUUUUGUGGUCUUUGGUGAACUUGCAUUGGGUUAGUGAUGUGGAAUUAAGUUAAUUAAGACCAUUUGGUGUCAAAGCAUAUGAGAAAGUGGAUUAUUGAUAUAUGGAUGCAUUUACAAUUUCUUAUAGCAUUAUUCUUGAGAAAUCAAAAGUUAUAUAUUACACCUUUAUGCAAAGCUUUUUUGUGCAAUUGGCCUUAUACUUAUUAGAAUUGUAAGCUUUGAUUUAGAACCAUUAGAUUUUCCCCAUGAGGAUCUUUACUUGGGAAUCAGAUUAAAUGGAUUGAAUUGCAUAUUUGAGGUUUGAAGAACAAAGCCAGUCAAUUUUAUUUCUUUGCGCUUUAGCAUCAUCAUCUGAACAACUAACCAUCUACCCCCUUCCAUAUUUUACCAUCACAUUAGGUGAAAUGGACCAGCCUUAAAAAGCAACUUUUUCUUGGAAAACCACACAGACCACAGAACUCCCAACCACCACAGCCAUAAACAAGGAGUUAACAGAUCCAUCCUCAUAUAAAGCAUUAAUACAAUGUUUUACUCAGAAUCCAAUUGACUAUGGUUGCAACAGAUCAAGUCUGACACCACAUUCACAAGCAAACCAAACUGCUCUAGCAAUAGAACAAGAUAAAAACCAGUGGUUUGCAAUCACUUCAUUCUCACCACAAAGUACACAUGCAGAAGAUAUAAUUUGUCUUUUAACCAACUUUUCUUUAACAGGUACAGCAUUGUGUACUAACUUCCAAAAGAAAAGGCCAAGCAUUCGAAAGGCAAUUUCAGCUUCCAUAACCUGGUACUAAGUUUCUGACUGACAGAAGAAGCAGAAUUCAAUUUAUCAUCUAAGCUUUUGUGAUUUAUAUGGAUGAUACUCUUUCUGCACAAAAUAAAUCCUAGACUGAGUGUGGUUAAAUGACCUUAUUCUUAAGAUUCCCAUUGGACAGAGGCAAUUCUUAAAAUCUCAUCUGCCACUGAAGGAUGGUAAAGGGUCUUAAUGAAAAAGGUCUUCCAGCAAAACCCAUCUUGAUCAAUCAGAUCUGCCACAAAAUGCACAGAAGAACUAAGACCAUUAUCCACCCCCUCUUUCAUGAUAAACCAAGCAGGGUGAUUAAAUGGGAUAGAUUUACCAUCCCCUACACACCACUUAGCCUUAGUCAAAACUAAAUUUCUACAAUAGAGUAUACCUUCCCAACCCCAAAAAUUGAAACAUCUCAUCCUAACACUGAAUAUAUUAUUUUGUCUACAAUUUUUGGCCUGCAACACCUUAAAGAACAAACAAUUUUGAUUCAAAGCAACUCUCCAAAAUUGUUUAGCUAACAAUUCUUUGUUCAAAUGUCCCAUCUUCCUACAACCCAGCCCCAUUCUCUUUUUUGGAAAAUAAAUUGUGAUCAAAUUCAUAGAAUGAACUUUCUAACACCUUCUAAAUGGUCCCAAAAAUGAUAGAGAGGCAGUGAAGUAAGCACAGGUUUGAGCAAAGUCAAUCUUCCAGCCAGAGACAACAGUUUUGCCUUCAAAGAAACUUCUAAACAGGUCAGAUUUCUUCUGGCCAAAAUCUAAAUUGAGAUCCAGUUGUUACCAAGUCUAUUAGCUUCUUUAACCUUAAAAAGAGCGAGAACAGAUUCUUUACACUGCUCAGGAAAAACACUGCAGAUUUGUUAAAAGUGAUCAUCUGACUAGAAAGAUUGCAAAACCACUCCAAGCUUUUUAGGCUAAAAUGCACAACACACUAUGUUUGGGGUUGCUUCUAAAUCUGUCUAUUUACUAUUAAUACUUGCAAUUUAGAUCCCUCAUGUAUUGCACCCACCACAUUACUGUGCCCCUUCCGACAACAUCCCUUAGAAUCUUUGAAUUGUGUCUGUGUCCGAAUUAAGAGAUACUUUAGUUCACAAGUAUUUUCCUUGAGAUUAUUUAUAUACACAUUGAUUUUUGAGUUUAUAAUGUUUACAUUCUAAGUUUAAUUCAUUAAUGCAUGUAUGAAUUUAGUUAGUUUGAAAGUAACUGACUGAAAUUAGAAUCAGUACAGACAAAUUAGUUGUGUGUGUGUGUGUGUGUUUUAUUUUAUUUUAUUUUAAAGUAGCAUUGGGACUUUUCAAUUAUUGUUAUAUGAAAAUAUGUGAUUUUAUUUAAGCUGUAUUUUUAUUUGCAGGUAUAGAGAACUAAAUGCAAGAAAAUUCCCAACAAAUUGCUUUGUAAUAUAUGCCCACCACAACAUUUAGUUUAGUCCCUUGCAAAUAAUUUUUUCUUGCAUCUAUUAUUCUAUUUUAUAUGUUUGCUGGAAAUUUAUUUUAUUUUAUAUUAAGGACAUUGUAAUAAAUAACUAGAUUUUGUGAGAAUAGUUUUAUUUAUUUAUUUUAUUUAAAAUCUUAUUAGUGGUUUUGUUUAUUUAUUUAUUGAUUCUAACUCUGUCCAUUGCAUUUGGAUCCAGAAUGCAAUUAACAAUUUGAAGUUGUUUUGAUAAGCUUGACAUAUUAAAUGGAGUGAUAUUGUAUUUUAUAUAUAGCAUUCUUGCAAGUAGGACAAAUGAGGGGCUGUACAACAUGCCCUUGACGAAUUUUGAAUUUUAAUGUAUUGUUAUAUUAAAUUUAUUGUUUUCUAAUUCAUAAAAUGAUCCCGUGUAUUGCGCAGGUUAAAUGCUAAUUUGAAUAAAUUGAGAAUAUUUUAGACGUAUGUUAUUGGAUAUUUGGGUAUUGGUUAAGUAUGUGGAACUUUUGUGCCAUUAGAUGGCUCAUGCAUCAGGCAACGCUGAAGAUAGGAAAUUGUGGCCUCUCCCUAUUGCUAAGCAUUUUAUUGAUGUGUUGGUGGAGGAACUUAAAGGGAACAUGCCACAAGGUAUGUUUAAGAAAGGUCUUUGGGGUUUUAUCCAAAAAGAGUUUAACCGACAUGCUAGUAAAAACUACCAUAAAGACCAAGUAAGGUAGAAAUUUCAAAGGUUGAAGGUUAGACAUCGUGUAUUUUUUGAGCUAAUUGGACAUUCAAGGAUGGGUUGGGAUUCCCAUACAAACAUUGUGAUAGGAAGUGAAGAGGUUUGGACAAAUGCAAUUGCGCCCAACCCUAAAUGCAAGGAGUUCCGGAAAAAGGGCCUUGAUCACUAUGACUUGUUGGGACAACUUUUCAACAAAAGCACUGCCACUGGAUUCCUUCAAAUUUCAUCAGCCCAACCAGCCCCAAACAGUGAUGAAGAGUGAGAGCUAGACGAGGGAUUUCUAUCAGCUAGAGUACAUGUGCAUUUAGAAGCUGAUAGUGGAGAUGCCAUAGAGGAGCUGGCCACACCAAUUGAAGAGCAAAGCAUGUGUAUUGAAAAGCAUGUAGCCCAACCAGAGCAUUCCAAGUAGAAGAAGAAAGGAGAGAUACUUAGUGAGAUGACUGAGGCUAUCAAGGGCUUCACGGAAGUGUCAAAGGUACGGCUUAUAGCUAAUAAGAGUAGAAAGCCAACCGGUGAGUCUUUUGUGAGGAGUGAAAGGUUCUCCAUUGACAAAGCUGUUGAGGUGCUUAACUCAUAUGAUCACUUAUAUGAUUUCACCCACUACAAGGUUCUAAAGGUACUCCUUAAUCCCAAUGUUAGGGCUGCUUUUAUUUCCGUGAAGUUGGAAAGGAGAAGAGCUUGGAUGGAAUUAGUUGGGAAUGGAUAUUAGGCAGGAUUGCUUUUGUUGGGUUUGCUUUGUUUUGUUGUUGUGUUGGGCUUGUUUGGUAGUGUGCCACAUAUUUUGGAUAUAAUGUUAUUAGUUAUGUUUUUAUGUUAGUGGUAGAAUAUGAACUAAGUGGCAGAAAAAUGGAAGUAGUUAUAUUUUUAUGUUAUUAUGAACUAAGUGCAGUUAUAUUUUUAUUUUAUUAUAGACUAAGUGCUGUUAGGGAUUUAUAUAUGGCGUGCACUUUUAUAUAUAUUAUUGUUGACUUAUGUUGUCUUUGAUAUUACACAUACUUUAUUUAAAGCUAUAUUCUAAUAUUCAUGAUUUAUCAUUGUUGUAUUAAUCAUAGUUGUGAUUCAAUCAUGGCCAAUUAUGGUUCAGACUAUGAUGAAAGCGAUGUAGAGCCUGAAAUAGCAACAAGUUAUGUGUUUGAGUGUAUCCAGUAUGUGCAAAAAUAUUAUCUCAAAAGUCCUAGAUGCAACAGUAUUUUGACUGGGAGGUCUUUCAUGGAUGUAAUAAUUGAAGAAAAUCCCUAAGCAUUUUAUGAAAUGUUUUGCAUGGACAUUGACAUCUUUCAGCAUUUAUGUAAUGAUUUGAAAAUGCUAUACUUGUUAGAGGAAGAUAUUGGAAUUGUCUCAGUUGAGGAGGUGGUUGGGAUGCUUUUAUAUGUUGUUGGGCAUAAUAAAAACAUGAGGUUGGCCGCAAACCGCUUCCAACAUUCACUUGAAACCAUUCAACAGAGAUUUUAUCGUGCAUUAAGGGCAAUUCAUUCAUUGAGAUUCAUGAUAAUUAGGCCAGAUUAUGGUGCAAAUGAGCACCCUGGUCAUUUUUGUGAAAAUGGGAUGUAUUAUCCAUGGUUUAAGGUAUGAUACUUUUUCCUAUUUAUAAUAAUUAUUUCAUACUUAUCAAAGAUAAAUAAUACAUAUUUCAUAAUAUGCUGGUGUAUACUCAGGUUAUACUUGCAUGAGUUUGUUUUUGGUAAAUUUUCAAUGAAACUUAAAUUACUUAUUAAAAAUAAAAAAAUUUCUUAUUAUAUAUUGAUGUCACGUAAUGGUUUGUUAAUAACAAUUUAUAGGAGCUAUUGAUGGUACCCAUUUCAGUACUUCCAACUCCAUCUCGUAAGAGUAUCACAUUUAGAGAUAGGAAAAGUAAGAUAACACAGAAUGUUAUGUGUGCAUACAUCUUUGAUAUAAGGUUUACAUACAUUCAUACUAGAUGGGAGGGUGAUGCAAACAAUUCUAGGGUGAUGCAAGAGGCUCUUGGAGAUGGUAAGUAUCAAUUCCCUUGGUCUGCUAGAGGUUACAAAAAUAAUUAUAAUUUCUUACCUGAUGGCCGUAGAUAUUAACCUAAUGUUUUUAAACUUGUCUUACUUUACUCAUGUUAAGACUUAUUUUCGAUUAUUGCAGGAUCCUAUUAGCUUAGGUAUUGCAUUCCUCCCACCACAGAAGUCAGAAAGAUACCAUGCUCGAGAAUACCAAGGUGCUAACAGACAAAUUACAAACCUCCAAGAAUUAUUUAAUUAUAGGCAUUCCUCAUUGCGAAUGGUUAUUGAAUGAUGUUUUGGUGUUCUAAAGGCAAGGUUUCCUAUUCUAAAUGACAUGCACUCUUAUUCACCAGCCAAACAACAACUCGUUGUCACAGCAUGUUGUGCAUUGCAUAACUUCAUACACAGGCAUAACUGGUCAGAUAAUCUGUUUCAUGCAUGGGAAGAAAAAGAUGUUGAAGUAUCACUGUAUGUGAUACAAAUAACUUAAGUGAUGCAAGAGUUGGAAGUGGCAAGAAUGAAGAAGCCUUUAAUCUACAAGCACAACGAGCCAUGACUUAGUAUCAUGAUGAGAUCACUGAAGCAAUGUGGGAAGAUUAUAGAACCCAACAUGGUUGAACAUAGGAAACAAGUAUUUGUGGAUAACUAUAGUCAUGUAUUUUGUAAACUUUUUAAGUACUUGUAUUUUGUGAACUAUGUUCGUUUUUUUAACAGUUACGUGAGAGUAUUAUUUUGUUGUAGUUUAUUUGUAGUCAACUAUAUAUUCAUGGCCAUAUAUUCAUGAAUUAUUAUUCA